RNAcentral lists this ribosomal RNA (575 nucleotides) under uncultured bacterium. RNAcentral describes it as "bacterial SSU rRNA". It matches the Rfam family "Bacterial small subunit ribosomal RNA", at positions 8 to 616 of the family's 1533-position model. The record is from RNAcentral.
AGAGUUUGAUCAUGGCUCAGGGUGAACGCUGGCGGUAUGCCUAAGACAUGCAAGUCGCACGGACUGUUUCGGCAGUUAGUGGCGGACGGGUGAGUAACACGUAGGUGACCUACCCCAAAGUCUGGGACAACUAGGAGAAAUCUUAGCUAAUCCUGGAUGUGAACCUCAGCUGUGGCUGAUGUUUAAAGCUUCGGCGCUUUGGGAUGGGCCUGCGGCGCAUCAGGUAGUUGGUGGGGUAACGGCCCACCAAGCCGACGACGCGUAGCUGGUCUGAGAGGACGACCAGCCACAGGGGUACUGAGACACGGACCCCACUCCUACGGGAGGCAGCAGUUAGGAAUCUUCCGCAAUGGGCGAAAGCCUGACGGAGCGAUACCGCUUGAAGGACGAAGCCCUUCGGGGUGUAAACUUCUGAACUCGGGACGAUAAUGACGGUACCGAGGUAAUAGCACCGGCUAACUCCGUGCCAGCAGCCGCGGUAAUACGUAGGGUGCGAGCGUUAAUCGGAAUUACUGGGCGUAAAGCGUGCGCAGGCGGAUUGUUAAGCAAGACGUGAAAUCCCCGGGCUUAACCUG